This 362-nucleotide ribosomal RNA is filed under the name uncultured Comamonas sp. Its description in RNAcentral is "bacterial SSU rRNA". It matches the Rfam family "Bacterial small subunit ribosomal RNA", at positions 1001 to 1382 of the family's 1533-position model. The record is from RNAcentral. Lineage: Bacteria; Pseudomonadati; Pseudomonadota; Betaproteobacteria; Burkholderiales; Comamonadaceae.
UCGAAAGAAGGAGCCGUAACACAGGUGCUGCAUGGCUGUCGUCAGCUCGUGUCGUGAGAUGUUGGGUUAAGUCCCGCAACGAGCGCAACCCUUGCCAUUAGUUGCUACGAAAGGGCACUCUAAUGAGACUGCCGGUGACAAACCGGAGGAAGGUGGGGAUGACGUCAAGUCCUCAUGGCCCUUAUAGGUGGGGCUGCACACGUCAUACAAUGGCUGGUACAAAGGGUUGCCAACCCGCGAGGGGGAGCCAAUCCCAUAAAGCCAGUCGUAGUCCGGAUCGCAGUCUGCAACUCGACUGCGUGAAGUCGGAAUCGCUAGUAAUCGUGGAUCAGCAUGUCACGGUGAAUACGUUCCCGGGUCUU